GGUGGUAUAGCUCAGUGGUAGAGCGCAUGCUUAGCAUGCACGAUACCUUGGGUUCAAUCCCCAGUACCUCCA
Transfer RNA from Loxodonta africana (African savanna elephant), 72 nucleotides. It matches the Rfam family "tRNA". Rfam says of the family: Transfer RNA (tRNA) molecules are approximately 80 nucleotides in length. Their secondary structure includes four short double-helical elements and three loops (D, anti-codon, and T loops). Lineage: Eukaryota; Metazoa; Chordata; Mammalia; Proboscidea; Elephantidae. The record is from Rfam.